Long non-coding RNA from Nannospalax galili (Upper Galilee mountains blind mole rat), 294 nucleotides. RefSeq lists it as uncharacterized. The transcript is spliced from 2 exons. NCBI's taxonomy places the organism in Eukaryota, Metazoa, Chordata, Mammalia, Rodentia, Spalacidae. The record is from RefSeq and is a predicted model, not a curated record.
CUCUUGCCCUCAAUUGACAGGAUGCACCUGGCUUUAAAGGCUUAUCAGGAGCUGCUGGCCACAGUGAAUGAGAUGGACAUGUCCCCAGGUGAGGCUGUGAGGGAGAGUAGUCGGAUCAUCAAAAACAACAUUUUUUACAUGAUGGAGUACUGAGAACUGUUCCUGGCACUCUUUAGAAAGUUCGAUGAGAGAUACCACCCCCGCUCAUUCCUUCGUGACCUGGUGGAAACUACCCACCUCUUCCUCAAGAUGUUAGAGCGGUUCUGUCGGAGCCAUGGGAACCUGAUGGUGCAG